Molecule: non-coding RNA, 23 nt
Filed under: Arabidopsis thaliana (thale cress)
Lineage: Eukaryota; Viridiplantae; Streptophyta; Magnoliopsida; Brassicales; Brassicaceae
Source: RNAcentral
AGACAAAACCUUGAUGAAAGCCU